RNAcentral lists this ribosomal RNA (229 nucleotides) under uncultured bacterium. RNAcentral describes it as "partial 16S ribosomal RNA". It matches the Rfam family "Bacterial small subunit ribosomal RNA", at positions 568 to 796 of the family's 1533-position model. The record is from RNAcentral.
UACGUAGGCGGAAUAUUAAGUCAGUGGUGAAAUCCUGCGGCUCAACCGUAGAACUGCCAUUGAUACUGAUAUUCUUGAAUAUAGUUGAGGUAGGCGGAAUGUGUAAUGUAGCGGUGAAAUGCUUAGAUAUUACACAGAACACCGAUUGCGAAGGCAGCUUACUAAACUAUUAUUGACGCUGAGGUACGAAAGCGUGGGGAGCGAGCAGGAUUAGAUACCCUGGUAGUCC